GACAGAGGGUGCAAGCGUUAAUCGGAAGUACUGGGCGUAAAGAGUUCGUAGGCGGUUAGUUAAGUUGGACGUGAAAUCCCCGGGCUUAACCUGGGAGGGUCAUUCAAAACUGGCUAACUUGAGUGGGGUAGAGGAAAGUGGAAUUUCCGGUGUAGCGGUGAAAUGCAUAGAUAUCGGAAGGAACACCAGUGGCGAAGGCUGCUUUCUGGUCCCUUACUGACUCUGAGGAACGAAAGCGUGGGGAGCAAACAGG
Molecule: ribosomal RNA, 253 nt
Filed under: uncultured bacterium
Lineage: Bacteria
Description: partial 16S ribosomal RNA
Rfam family: Bacterial small subunit ribosomal RNA
Source: RNAcentral